RNAcentral lists this ribosomal RNA (449 nucleotides) under uncultured bacterium. Its description in RNAcentral is "partial 16S ribosomal RNA". It matches the Rfam family "Bacterial small subunit ribosomal RNA", at positions 29 to 523 of the family's 1533-position model. The record is from RNAcentral.
AACGAACGCUGGCGGCAUGCCUAACACAUGCAAGUCGAACGAAGCCUUCGGGCUUAGUGGCGCACGGGUGCGUAACGCGUGGGAAUCUGCCCUUUGGUUCGGAAUAACAGUUGGAAACGACUGCUAAUACCGGAUGAUGACGAAAGUCCAAAGAUUUAUCGCCAGAGGAUGAGCCCGCGUAGGAUUAGCUAGUUGGUGUGGCAAAGGCGCACCAAGGCGACGAUCCUUAGCUGGUCUGAGAGGAUGAUCAGCCACACUGGGACUGAGACACGGCCCAGACUCCUACGGGAGGCAGCAGUGGGGAAUAUUGGACAAUGGGCGAAAGCCUGAUCCAGCAAUGCCGCGUGAGUGAUGAAGGCCCUAGGGUUGUAAAGCUCUUUUACCCGGGAUGAUAAUGACAGUACCGGGAGAAUAAGCCCCGGCUAACUCCGUGCCAGCCGCCGCAGUAA